RNAcentral lists this microRNA precursor (87 nucleotides) under Choloepus hoffmanni (Hoffmann's two-fingered sloth). RNAcentral's name for it is "miRNA (ENSCHOG00000014612.1)". The record is from RNAcentral. Lineage: Eukaryota; Metazoa; Chordata; Mammalia; Pilosa; Megalonychidae.
AUGUAUGUGUGCAUGCACGUGUAUAUACUUGCACAUGUAUACAUAUGCAUACAUAUAUGCAAAAAUAAAAAUAGUCUACUCAAAACU